This 76-nucleotide transfer RNA is filed under the name Escherichia coli. Its description in RNAcentral is "tRNA-Val". It matches the Rfam family "tRNA". From Rfam's summary of the family: Transfer RNA (tRNA) molecules are approximately 80 nucleotides in length. Their secondary structure includes four short double-helical elements and three loops (D, anti-codon, and T loops). The record is from RNAcentral. Lineage: Bacteria; Pseudomonadati; Pseudomonadota; Gammaproteobacteria; Enterobacterales; Enterobacteriaceae. RNAcentral also lists the same sequence under 7 other names.
GGGUGAUUAGCUCAGCUGGGAGAGCACCUCCCUUACAAGGAGGGGGUCGGCGGUUCGAUCCCGUUAUCACCCACCA